This 169-nucleotide small nucleolar RNA is filed under the name Strigamia maritima. RNAcentral's name for it is "small nucleolar RNA U3". It matches the Rfam family "Small nucleolar RNA U3". From Rfam's summary of the family: Small nucleolar RNAs (snoRNAs) are involved in the processing and modification of rRNA in the nucleolus. There are two main classes of snoRNAs: the box C/D class, and the box H/ACA class. The record is from RNAcentral. Lineage: Eukaryota; Metazoa; Arthropoda; Chilopoda; Geophilomorpha; Linotaeniidae.
AAGAUCAUACUUCACAGGAUCAUUUCAAUGCCUAUUCUCUAUCCAAGAGAUGGAACACCGUUUCCUCUUGAGCGUGAAGCUGCGUAGUUUUCCAAUUUAUUGGCUAAACUACGCAUUGCUUUUUGCAACUUACGAGUUGUUAAGAGGGCGGAAACGUAUUCUGAGUGGU